RNAcentral lists this ribosomal RNA (497 nucleotides) under uncultured bacterium. RNAcentral's name for it is "partial 16S ribosomal RNA". It matches the Rfam family "Bacterial small subunit ribosomal RNA", at positions 28 to 507 of the family's 1533-position model. The record is from RNAcentral.
GAUGAACGCUGGCGGCGUGCCUAAUACAUGCAAGUCGAGCGAACAGACGAGGAGCUUGCUCCUUUGACGUUAGCGGCGGACGGGUGAGUAACACGUGGAUAACCUACCUAUAGGACUGGGAUAACUUCGGGAAACCGGAGCUAAUACCGGAUAACAUGUUGAACCGCAUGGUUCAACAGUGAAAGACGGUCUUGCUGUCACUUAUAGAUGGAUCCGCGCCGCAUUAGCUAGUUGGUAAGGUAACGGCUUACCAAGGCAACGAUGCGUAGCCGACCUGAGAGGGUGAUCGGCCACACUGGAACUGAGACACGGUCCAGACUCCUACGGGAGGCAGCAGUAGGGAAUCUUCCGCAAUGGGCGAAAGCCUGACGGAGCAACGCCGCGUGAGUGAAGAAGGUCUUCGGAUCGUAAAACUCUGUUAUUAGGGAAGAACAAAUGUGUAAGUAACUAUGCACGUCUUGACGGUACCUAAUCAGAAAGCCACGGCUAACUACGUG